ACUUGUCAGAACAUGCAAGGAUUACGUCAUUGGUAGAGAAAUAACCACCGAACUAAAGAUAGCCGUGGAUAACGCAAUUGUUGAAUUAUGCGACUCGUGUGACUUCUUUGCUAGCCCUUUACUCAAGGGAAAAAAAUUAAAUUUAAUCGUGACGUUUAAGAAAGAAAGCUGUUGUUAAUAGUGUUUGUAUCUUCAUGCCCAUACAUAUCCCGAUGAAAAUUCCGGAUUAAGAAGAUUACGUCAUCGGAGAGUUCACAACGGCUACGACUGGUGGUGCAAUGAUACAGUUUGUGUUGAUCAAGUGAUGUGUCUACAGUAAUCAAUGAAUCAUCAAAGACUGCUUUGGAAUCUGCCCUGCAUUGCGACUGUAGAGCUAAGAAAACAGUUAAAUUUUAAAUGCGCGGUUAUAAGAACUCCAAGAUCUUCUUGUUUGCCAAAAAUCUGCUCAUACCACGGUAACUUUUUGAAUGCUAUUUGAAACAUCUCAAUUUAAUUCAUUUCUGUAAGUGACCUCGCGAUUAAAUUCUCAAGCAUUCUCGACAAAGUUAGUGUCAAACCUUGUAAGAAUGCUUAAAGCGUGCGUUAUCGUGUUUUGAACUGACGUGAAAUGUCCGUUUUUAUCAAAAUAUGGAUAACUUCAAAUUCAAUUUUCUCUCGCGGGGUCACCUUGAGAGCCUAAGUCUCGAUAAGUUCUUCCAAACUGUAUUCAAAAUAUUGCCAUGCUAUGCGGAUUUUUUGCUCGAAUGUUCAGCGGAAAUCAUCUUAAACAUUAUCUGUCCUAGUACUGUCUAAAGACCUUAUUGAGUAGUUCCAGCGCAACCACAAGGCGAAGUCAAAUCAAGAGAUAUGGAGUGCUGUAACCCAGUCUACUCACCUAAGUGAUAAACAUUAAAGUGGUGCUAUAGGAGUAUAGAUACUGAUUUUUUUUGUUGCCUCAAUAAGACGUUUCAGGAGUACUGCAGAGACAGUUCAGCUCAAUCGAUUCAAUUUUGUUAGUGGUACGAAAAGAGCAUCAUAGAGCUAUUUCUUAGUGGACCACUGAACUCGGCAAUUGAAUUAACAAAGGAUGUUGGCGACAUGCACAUUUUUUGCAAGACGUUUAUAGAAAGUUGCAUUUUGAUAAGAUUAUUGUCCAAUGCAUGUACUAAACAAAUGUGGGCUCAUUCUGAGUUUUUCCGUGUACUGUAAUCCAAAAUGGCAAGGACAUUUUUUUUUGGCCAAAUGUGCUAAGGGCUAGGUCACGGUGUAAGAAUGCGCCUUGGGUUCCUCCAAUUUGUCAAUUCACUAUGUGUCAAAUUAACAUUUUAGUAGAAUGCCCUGGUCAGAAUGUAGAUUAGUUUGGUGAUAGUAGAAUUAGCAGUUAGAUUACCAUAGACUUGUUUAAGGACUGCUCGCUCAAAAAUCUUCAUAACUACUCGAAGCACUAAAAUUGAUUGACUGUUUGAAAUUAUUCGGAUCUGACGAUCCAGAUUUAUGUAAAGGUGUCACCUUAACAAUUUCAAAGAAUUUGGGAUUGCACAAGACUGCAACAAACGGUUGAAGACACAAGUCAAAGGAGAGGCAAGAACAUUUGCUGGCACCAAUGUUUGUAAAAUGAGAAUGAACACCUUUAAGUCUAGAGGAUUUGUGUCAGCGCAGAAAUGACAAUUCCUGGUCAACAAACUCAGUGCAGAUAUCAUUAAAAGCGAGAGGAAGUCCCAUGCAGAAUAGUCGUGAAUUGUCUUGACUGCAAUCCAAGUGAUCUAACCAUUAGCUAUUCAAAGGUUGUCAUUCUCAAUGGCACCAUUACUAACUAGCUCUUGCAGUGCACAGCGACAAUUCCUCUUAUGUGGUCAGAAGCUAAGUUUCCUAAGAGUAGACCACGAUAUAGAAGAAUCAUCGACAUGAUGGGUAUGCAGGGCAUUAAAAAAAAUUCCUUUUGGCCAAUUCAAUUCAGUGAGUAACUUUAUUCCUUAUACUCUUAUAACAGUAACAACUAUCCAUUUAACAGGCCUCCACUUCAUUUGAUCGCAAGAUUUCAUGGCUCGCCUGAUCUGAUCAGACAUCCAGGAAGGCUAGUUGCUGUGCUCACGAAUUGAAAGAAAAAAAUUAAAAGAUAAUAUCCUAGAUAUUAAACGAUAAAACUGCCAACUUCGACGAAAGACAAAUACAUCGAUAAUAAUGUGAUACAUUUCUAAACACCCAAACACUCACUUAAAAAAAACACGACUCGGAAAUUUGAAUCCAACGUUUUACUAAACUGACAGUAAGACUCACCAUCAUAACCCGAUGUGGCUUCUUUCCUUAGUAAACUGGUAUAUUGAGACAGCGAGGAACCCAAAUUUGCAGUAAACUAGGUGUCUAUAUUGUGUAGUAAACAUUGAACAAACAAGCUGCAAGCCGGCAGCUUCGAAGAUUCUUGCCACUGGCCAACGUAAAUUGGUGCUAUUAGCUAGCCUGAAUUCGCUUUCAUCCUUGCCGGCUUCUAACAGUAGUCCAAGACAUGGAAGACAUGGAGUAAACUAAUCACAUUAAAUAAACGCUGAAUAGAUGACCUUAAUGUGAGAAAAAUCUUAGACUUUUGGUGUUCGCAAAACUGCAAAAGUUAUCAGGAAGUGAAGGAAAAGCAAUGUAGCAAAGGAAGGAGUAAAAUUAGACUCAGAUUCUCUGACCUCUCUCUUUUUUAUUCUAUAUUGUGGUUGUGGUUGUGGUUUUCAAAUUGCGGAUUCUAAAACAAUUAAGAUGUUGUCGUGACCUACUGCACGAUGACCUAACUUUCUUAUCUUGUAAACACAUCCAAACCAAUAGGUCCGCCAUGCGUACUUGUGGGCUUAUGCUUAGUGUUAUUUCAUUCGGUUGGAGUUUGUUUUUAAAAAUCAGUAUCUGGGAGCUGAAUUGCUAUAUUAGUGAGAAGGCAAUCACUGAAAA
Molecule: long non-coding RNA, 2907 nt
Organism: Orbicella faveolata
Lineage: Eukaryota; Metazoa; Cnidaria; Anthozoa; Scleractinia; Merulinidae
Source: RefSeq, a predicted model, not a curated record